Molecule: long non-coding RNA, 104 nt
Organism: Telopea speciosissima
Lineage: Eukaryota; Viridiplantae; Streptophyta; Magnoliopsida; Proteales; Proteaceae
Exons: 4
Source: RefSeq, a predicted model, not a curated record
UGGGCCCUCAAGCUUUACUGUAAGGAAUCUAAUGAGGAAUAGAAACUAGGAUCAAAUACCAUAUCCAAAGACCAAAAUUAAGCUCCAUAGGAAACACAAAUGAA